CCUACGGGAGGCAGCAGUGAGGAAUAUUGGUCAAUGGACGAGAGUCUGAACCAGCCAAGUAGCGUGAAGGAUGCCUGCCCUAUGGGUUGUAGACUUCUUUUAUGUGGGGAUAAAAUGUUCCACGUGUGGGAUUUUGUAUGUACCAUAUCAAUAAGGAUGGGCCAACUCCGUGCCAGCAGCCGCGGUAAUACGGAGGAUUCGAGCGUUAUCCGGAUUUAUUGGGUUUAAAGGGUGCGUAGGUGGAAUGUUAAGUCAGUUGUGAAAGUUUGCGGCUCAACCUUAAAAUUGCAGUUGAGACUGGCAGUCUUGAGUACAGUAGAGGUGGGCGGAAUUCGUGGUGUAGCGGUGAAAUGCUUAGAUAUCACGAAGAACUCCGAUGGCGAAGGCAGUUCACUGGACUGCAACUGACACUGAGGCUCGAAAGUGUGGGUAUCAAACAGGAUUAGAUACCCCAGUAGUC
Molecule: ribosomal RNA, 460 nt
Filed under: uncultured bacterium
Lineage: Bacteria
Description: partial 16S ribosomal RNA
Rfam family: Bacterial small subunit ribosomal RNA
Source: RNAcentral